RNAcentral lists this ribosomal RNA (370 nucleotides) under uncultured Oscillospiraceae bacterium. Its description in RNAcentral is "partial 16S ribosomal RNA". The record is from RNAcentral. Lineage: Bacteria; Bacillati; Bacillota; Clostridia; Eubacteriales; Oscillospiraceae.
GGAGUCUGGGCCGUGUCUCAGUCCCAAUGUGGCCGAUCAACCUCUCAGUUCGGCUACUGAUCGUCGACUUGGUGGGCCGUUACCUCACCAACUAUCUAAUCAGACGCGGGUCCAUCUUUCACCGGAUUGCUCCUUUGACCUCUUGAGGAUGCCCUCCUGUGGUCUUAUGCGGUAUUAGCACAAGUUUCCCUGUGUUAUCCCCCUGUGAAAGGCAGGUUACCCACGCGUUACUCACCCGUCCGCCACUAAGUCUUCUCGGUGAAUUGCUCCGGAAGCAAGCUUCCCUCACUCUUCGGUGAGAAGGCUCCGUUCGACUUGCAUGUGUUAGGCACGCCGCCAAACGUUCGUCCUGAGCCAUGAUCAAACUACU